UACGUAGGGGGCUAGCGUUGUCCGGAAUCAUUGGGCGUAAAGCGCGCGUAGGCGGUCGGGUAAGUCCGGUGUGAAAGUCAAAGGCUCAACCUUUGAAUGCCGCUGGAUACUGCCUGACUUGAGUCCGGAAGGGGCGAGUGGAAUUCCUGGUGUAGCGGUGAAAUGUGUUGAUAUCGGAAGGAACGCCGGUGGCGAAAGCGACACACUGGAUCUUGUCUGACGCUGAGGCACGAAAGCCAGGGGAGCGAACGGG
Molecule: ribosomal RNA, 253 nt
Filed under: uncultured bacterium
Lineage: Bacteria
Description: partial 16S ribosomal RNA
Rfam family: Bacterial small subunit ribosomal RNA
Source: RNAcentral